Molecule: ribosomal RNA, 403 nt
Filed under: uncultured Lactobacillus sp.
Lineage: Bacteria; Bacillati; Bacillota; Bacilli; Lactobacillales; Lactobacillaceae
Description: bacterial SSU rRNA
Rfam family: Bacterial small subunit ribosomal RNA
Source: RNAcentral
UAACACCCUGGGAAACAGAUGCUAAUACCCGGGAUAACCAACAGAUGAUGCCUAUCAACUGUUUUAAAAGUAUGGUUCUGCUAUCACUCUUGGGAUGGGACCCUGCGGUGCAUUAGCUAGUUGGUAGGGUAACGGCCUACCAAGGCGAUGAUGCAUAGCCGAGUUGAGAGACUGAUCGGCCACAUUGGGACUGAGACACGGCCCAAACUCCUACGGGAGGCAGCAGUAGGGAAUCUUCCACAAUGGACGCAAGUCUGAUGGAGCAACGCCGCGUGAGUGAAGAAGGGUUUCGGCUCGUAAAGCUCUGUUGUUGGUGAAGAAGGACAGGGGUAGUAACUGACCUUUGUUUGACGGUAAUCAAUUAGAAAGUCACGGCUAACUACGUGCCAGCAGCCGCGGUAAU